UGGGGGAUAUUGCACAAUGGGCGAAAGCCUGAUGCAGCGACGCCGCGUGGGGGAUGAAGGCCUUCGGGUUGUAAACUUCUUUUGCUCUGAACAAGGCAUGCUAAUGGGUGUGUUGAGUGUAGGGGUUGAUUAGCGCCGGCUAACUACGUGCCAGCAGCCGCGGUAAUACGUAGGGCGCGAGCGUUGUCCGGAAUUAUGGGGCGUAAAGGGCUUGUAGGUGGCUGGUUGCGUCUGUCGUGAAAGCUCAUGGCUUAACUGUGGGUUUGCGGUGGGUACGGGCUGGCUUGAGUGCAGUAGGGGAGGCUGGAAUUCCUGGUGUAGCGGUGGAAUGCGCAGAUAUCAGGAGGAAUACCGGUGGCGAAGGCGGGUCUCUGGGCUGUUACUGACACUGAGGAGCGAAAGCAUGGGGAGCGAACAGG
Molecule: ribosomal RNA, 419 nt
Filed under: bacterium
Lineage: Bacteria
Description: partial 16S ribosomal RNA
Rfam family: Bacterial small subunit ribosomal RNA
Source: RNAcentral